This 465-nucleotide ribosomal RNA is filed under the name uncultured bacterium. RNAcentral describes it as "partial 16S ribosomal RNA". It matches the Rfam family "Bacterial small subunit ribosomal RNA", at positions 28 to 507 of the family's 1533-position model. The record is from RNAcentral.
GACGAACGCUGGCGGCGUGCUUAACACAUGCAAGUCGAACGCUGAACCCGCUUCGGUGGGGGAUGAGUGGCGAACGGGUGGGUAACACGUGGGCAACCUGCCCCCGGCUCUGGGAUAACUCCAAGAAAUUGGGGCUAAUACCGGAUGUGACCGCUGGCCGCAUGGUCUGGUGGUGGAAAGGGUUUCCGGCUGGGGAUGGGCCCGCGGCCUAUCAGCUUGUUGGUGGGGUAGUGGCCUACCAAGGCGACGACGGGUAGCCGGCCUGAGAGGGUGACCGGCCACACUGGGACUGAGACACGGCCCAGACUCCUACGGGAGGCAGCAGUGGGGAAUAUUGCGCAAUGGGCGGAAGCCUGACGCAGCGACGCCGCGUGGGGGAUGACGGCCUUCGGGUUGUAAACCUCUUUCAGCAGGGACGAAGCGCAAGUGACGGUACCUGCAGAAGAAGCACCGGCCAACUACGUG